Molecule: ribosomal RNA, 460 nt
Filed under: uncultured bacterium
Lineage: Bacteria
Description: partial 16S ribosomal RNA
Rfam family: Bacterial small subunit ribosomal RNA
Source: RNAcentral
CCUACGGGGGGCAGCAGUGAGGAAUAUUGGUCAAUGGGCGCAAGCCUGAACCAGCGAAGUAGCGUGAAGGAUGACUGCCCUACGGGUUGUAAACUUCUUUUAUAAAGGAAUAAAGUGAGGCACGUGUGCCUUUUUGUAUGUACUUUAUGUUUAAGGAUCGGCUAACUCCGGGCCAGCCGCCGAGGUAAUACGGAGGAUCCGAGGGUUAUCCGGAUUUAUUGGGUUUAAAGGGAGCGUAGAUGGGUUGUUAAGUCAGUUGUGAAAGUUUGCGGCUCAACCGUAAAAUUGCAAUUGAUACUGGCAGCCUUGAGUACAGUAGAGGUAGGCGGAAUUCGUUGUGUAGCGGUGAAAUGCUUAGAUAUCACGAAGAACUCCGAUGGCGAAGGCAGCCUACUAAACUGCCACUGACAUUGAUGCUCGAAAGUGUGGGUAUCAAACAGGAUUAGAUACCCCAGUAGUC